RNAcentral lists this non-coding RNA (23 nucleotides) under Arabidopsis thaliana (thale cress). The record is from RNAcentral. Lineage: Eukaryota; Viridiplantae; Streptophyta; Magnoliopsida; Brassicales; Brassicaceae.
AGUGUUAGUGCUUUGACCACAGA